AGUAAUGCUUGGGAAUAUGCCUUUAGGUGGGGACAACAGUUGGAAACGACUGCUAAUACCGCAUAACGUGCUUUUUGUGGUGAAAAGUACCAAAGGGGGGGCUCUUCGGACCUCUUGCCUAAAGAUUAGCCCAAGUGAGAUUAGCUAGUUGGUGAGGUAAUGGCUCACCAAGGCGACGAUCUCUAGCUGGUUUGAGAGGAUGACCAGCCACACUGGGACUGAGACACGGCCCAG
Molecule: ribosomal RNA, 234 nt
Filed under: uncultured bacterium
Lineage: Bacteria
Description: partial 16S ribosomal RNA
Rfam family: Bacterial small subunit ribosomal RNA
Source: RNAcentral